Molecule: ribosomal RNA, 301 nt
Filed under: uncultured bacterium
Lineage: Bacteria
Description: partial 16S ribosomal RNA
Rfam family: Bacterial small subunit ribosomal RNA
Source: RNAcentral
CAGCAGCCGCGGGAAUACGUAGGGUGCGAGCGUUAAUCGGAAUUACUGGGCGUAAAGCGGGCGCAGACGGUUACUUAAGCAGGAUGUGAAAUCCCCGGGCUCAACCUGGGAACUGCGUUCUGAACUGGGUGACUAGAGUGUGUCAGAGGGAGGUAGAAUUCCACGUGUAGCAGUGAAAUGCGUAGAGAUGUGGAGGAAUACCGAUGGCGAAGGCAGCCUCCUGGGAUAACACUGACGUUCAUGCCCGAAAGCGUGGGUAGCAAACAGGAUUAGAUACCCCUGUAGUCCCUGUCUCUUAUAC